CCUACGGGAGGCAGCAGUGGGGGAUAUUGCACAAUGGGGGAAACCCUGAUGCAGCGACGCCGCGUGGGUGAAGAAGUAUUUCGGUAUGUAAAGCCCUAUCAGCAGGGAAGAAAGAAGACGGUACCUGACUAAGAAGCCCCGGCUAACUACGUGCCAGCAGCCGCGGUAAUACGUAGGGGGCGAGCGUUAGCCGGAUUCACUGGGUGUAAAGGGAGCGUAGACGGCCGUGCAAGCCAGGAGUGAAAGCCCGGGGCCCAACCCCGGGACUGCUCUUGGAACUGUGCGGCUGGAGUGCGGGAGGGGCAGGCGGAAUGCCUGGUGUAGCGGUGAAAUGCGUAGAUAUCAGGAGGAACACCGGCGGCGAAGGCGGCCUGCUGGACCGCGACUGACGUUGAGGCUCGAAAGCGUGGGGAGCGAACAGGAUUAGAUACCCCGGUAGUC
Molecule: ribosomal RNA, 441 nt
Filed under: uncultured bacterium
Lineage: Bacteria
Description: partial 16S ribosomal RNA
Rfam family: Bacterial small subunit ribosomal RNA
Source: RNAcentral